AAACUGAGGGAAAUAGGGCAAAAGAAAAAAAGCCAAGAAAGGAUGUUUUCUUAGCUGGAGACUUAUUUGGAGCUUGCUCUCCCAGGGAACUCUGGAUCAUUAGGAAGUGACAUGAAGUUAAGGGCCUGGGCUUGUACACCCUCACAUCAGUUAUUCACUGGCCGUGUGCUGCCCUAGUAGGCAGCACGGCCUGGCAAUCACCUCUGAGUCCACCCUGGUCAUACGGUUCCCAUCAGCCAAGGGUAAUUCUCCCAAGAAGCUUGUAGCUGUGAUCCAUGAGCAACCAGCAUUCACAGGUGCUGGGAGAUGGGUGACUCUACCCGGGAAAGAGGAUCCAGGCAGAAAAAUGGGUGUCUGCUACAGUCGUUAGUGCUCAGAGCACUUAAGAACAGUGCUAAUGGAGUAAAUAAGAGCCUAAGUGGAGAAGAACAAAGGCUCUAACAUACUAUGUAAACAAUUUCAAAGCACAUCUUUUUGUCUGGGACUCAAUUUCCCUAUCCAUGAAAUGGGAAGAUUGGAUCACCUUUUCUCUAAGGAGUCUAUCAUUGCUCCAGUGUUCACAGGUUCUGGAGUUCUGCUGCCUUAGUUCAAACUCUAGCUCUUCCAUGAAUGGGUCUAUGUUUGCCCAGAUGCAUAGUCUUUGGAUUUUAGUAGUCACUGAUUAUAAAGACAUAUUCCACAAGGUUGAGCCUCAUCUGUAAAAUGUGAGCAACUGCAGUAGCACACACCCUGCAUGGUUAGUAUAAAGGUGAAUUGGAAAAUGUAUAUAAAGUAAUGAAACUGCAUCUUUUUCCUCUCCCUAGCAUCAGUCAUGCACACCUUAGUAAGAAAUUUAGAGCAUGGUGUUCUGGGGAAUUUAACAAGUUUGAUUUUUUUCCCUCUUUUUUUUUUUUUUUUUGUAGCCAUGCCCACGGCAUGCAGAAGGUCCUAAGCCAGGGAUCAAACCCAUGCCAUGGCAGUGACAACCUUUAUCCUUAACCAACUAUGCCACAAGGGAACUCCCAACAAGUUCCAUUUUUUUUCUGAUGGAGGAAUAAAGUCAUGUUUUAUUAUUUAAUGAUAAUUAUUUAAUAAUAUUUAAUAAGAAACUUAAGCAGAGAUAUCUGCAGCCAGGCUGCAUAUUUAGGAAUAGGGUUCAAAGACUUUCUGGGGCUCAUGAAACCUAUCACAAGGCAGUCACUUUGGCAGUCUAAUCCUUGGGCUUUCUAUAUGUCUUCAGAUAGUGUCACGGGAAGCCUAGGGGAGCGGGACAGACCUGGAUGAAACUUGUUCUCAGCACAUUGCCUUAGGAAAACCACACGCAGAUGGGCUUGUGCUGAUUUGAGGAAACAGAAGGAAACUAAUUCAUGGUUUCAAAACUUGACAUUUUUUAUCUUCCCACCAGAUAUGUCAUGUGUACUAUAUUUGCUGCACUUCUUGGCCUGACUUUCUCAAGCUCAAGAUUCAGGAAAUACACUUGACAUUUCCUUCCAAUAUGGUCACGAGAGGCAAAGAGGAAGGGCUCUGUGGGGGAAGGAAGGAGCUGUGGGAGGUCGGCUCUGGUACCCAGUCAUCAGGUGAUCUGGCACAGGACUCCUCUCUCUGAGACUGGUUCCCCCAUCUAUGACAUGGGGAUAAGCCCUAGUUCCCAGGGAUGGCACAGGGACUGAGGGGGGAGUCAGUGGUCUCCAGUGCUCACUCAGGCUGCAUGACUGUAGGUCCUCCUGUAUCCUGGGAAGCACUGAUUUAAGCAGCUCUCAUGAAGUUGUUCUCUUUCCUAAGAGAACUGUUCAGAAUCUCACCAGAGUACAUGUUAGAGGCAGAAUUCCAACAAACCCAUCUCACUCUGAAGGGGGGUACUUCCCACUCUUCUCUCCUGCCUCCUUCCUCUGUCUGCUCCUUCUCUCCCCACCAAGCUUUGCAGCCAUGUAUCUGUGCUCUCUGUGUCUUGUGAACUGGCCUCCUAUGGAGACAACUUCCAGGGUGUGAAAUGGAGGCGAUCUCUAAAAAGGGUCCCCUAAAAUGAACCUGACCUCUGUUAGCACAGCCAGAUCCAUAGUUCUAACAGUGAUGAGGAUAAGGAUCCAGGAGGUACAAGCUCUCCCCUAUGAAGUGACACAACCUGGAAGGAUGACAUGCCCUGUGAUAGCAGAGGGAGCCAAAGCAGAGAGGUGGACAGCUUUGGGCUACCCAUACCUGUGCGUCACUGGAAGGGCUGUGGGAGCCUCCACAGAGGCUGGCAGGUGAGGGAGGAAGGAGGAUGAGUUGGGACUAGGACCUGGGGAGCCCACUCAGUGGUACUGUCAGAUGUCAGGUUGAGGUCCCAGAUAGGCAUAAAUCCCACUGUUCAUGGGGGAGGUUGGCUCAAUCUAGACCAGCAUCCAUACACAGGGUGGGCUCGGCAUCAGGGGGGUUGGGUCAUCAUCAGCAUGGCUUCAGGCUCACACUGGCACUACUGCCCCACCAUGGCUCCUCCCUAAGCCUGGACAAGCCCAGGACCCAGGGUAUUGUGGUGUAGAGUAUAGCCUUGCCCUCAUGGGUGAGGUGGGGUCAGCAAAGUUCCAUGUGGCCAGCCAAAUUCUUGUCUCCAGGUGCCCGAGUGGAGCUGGAGGGUCAACAGAGAAGGCAUGAGUGUGGGGGCCCCAGCAUGAGGAGGAGGAUGCUCACCUCGGGUGUGGUGGGCUUUGACCUUGAGGAAAUGACCCCUGAGUGACUUACAGAAGGUGGGGUCUGUAGGCUCCACAGCCCCAGAUCUUGGCUAGUCUUCAUUUCCAUCAGAAUAGCUCGGGAUAAAUUAGUGGCCGCUGUGCCUCUGAUCCCUGCCCUCAUUCUUCUUCUCUUUCUUGAGUCUCAGUUUAUAGUGUUCUUUCAUUCCCUUUGGAACCCAGGCAGGUCCACCCUCAGCUGCACACCAGCAUCCUGGCUGACUUUUCCAGAGCCUUCCUGGUGGAGACGAGGAGGCUGGCUUCCUUCCUCUCCCGUCAGAACCCCACUCUCCUGUAGCCAUCUUCUCUGCAUCCCAAGGGAGCGGUCUGGCCUGCAUCCUGGUGGCACGAUCCACCCUCCCCCACAGCCGCCUCAGGACCCCACCUCCCUUUCAGCCUCCCUAUGUCACACUGCCUGCAUCUACCCCCGGGGAUGGCGACCGUGACCCAAAACUGUCAGCUCGCUCUUUCAUGCUCACUUAGAGCGCAUUAGAGACAUAUUGUGCAAAGAGCUUGCAUUUACAGAAGCAUCACUGUGUGCUGUUUGGGCUGUGAAGGACAAGUGCACUCCUGUCUUUCACUGAAUGGGAAAGGAGGGCUGCAGGUCUCCCCAGCCUGAGAAUGUGCUGGGGCCUGAGCCCCAAGAGCUGCUGCCCCUCCCAAGACUGCAGGGGCCAUGGCAGCUCCUCUGGUCAGCACCUCAUGCCAGGCAUCCAUGCCCCCAAGCCCACCAGGUCCUGGGGAGCCUGAUGCUGCAGAAAAGUCUCUGUCUCUGUAUAAGUUCAUAUGCCUCCAUGACUGUCCCUUCUCUGCCCUUUAACUCCUUUGAAAUUGGAACAAAAAGUAAUCCCCCACCAUGGGAAGUUCCCAUCGAUAUUAUGCCUGCACUCAACCCACCCCAUCUGGUUCUUUCCUGAGCCCGUGUGUGGCUCUGUCUGGGUCUCCAGCCCUCGAGGAGUGCCUGCUCCGGGAGGUAGAGUCACAUUGCAGCAGAACACCAGAAGCGACCCCCCAGCUCUCCUGUGGGACUCUGUCCCCACACCCAGCCCAGCACUACCUUCUGGGGCUGAGCACCAUACAUCCCUUCCUCGCUCCUCCAAUCCCCUUCCCUCUGCAUCCACCCUCUUCCUGCCCCGGUGAGCAUCCUGAAUGUUAACCCCACUCUUCUCAGCCAUGUCUGUGCCCCUGCUGUGCUCCUCUCUCUGCGGGAUGCUGUUUCUGCCAUCCUUUCCUUGAGUAAUUCCUGCUCAUUUUCAGAACUGACCUCAGGGGUCACCUUCUGGGAAGGGCCUACCCAGGCUCUGCUUCUCCUCUGUCCAUCUCACUUGGGGCCCUCUUCUGUGCAAUAUACAUAAUACUCCAUCUAAAUAUCUCUAUAUCUGCAUAGUAAGAUGCUAGAUCAGCCAGGGUGUGGGUCACUGUCUUCAUCCAUCCUGGCUACUCUAACAAAAUACCACUGACUGGUGGCUUAUUAACUACAGAAAUUUCUUGUUCAUGGUUCUAGAAGCUGAGGAAUCCAAAAGCAAGGUGCUAGCAGGAUUGCCUUCGGGUGAGGGCCUACUUCCUGGCUCCUAACGCAUGCCUCCUGCUGUGUGUUCACUGGGUAGUUGGGGCUGGGCAUCUCUCUGGAGCUGCCUCUAUAAGGGCUCUGAUCUCAUCCAUGUAGGCUCCACCCCCACAACCCAAGAGCCUCCCAAAGGUGCUUCUAAGACCAUCACACUGGGCAUUCGGCUUUCCAUAUGGAUUUUACAGCGACGCAAACAUUCAGUCCAUGGCAGCCACUGUAGUGAUGAUUGAGCACAGUCCAUAAAUACCACCAGGCCUCAGUUUUCUCACAUGUGAAGUGGAGAUGAUGGCAGAGACUAUCUCAUAGGCUGGGGCAGGGCCUUGAUUAGAAGGUGCACAUGACUGAGGGAUGGGCUUAGCAGGGUGCCUGCGGCAAGCUGGACUAUACUCAGCUGUUCUUCGCAGUGUCUCAUGCCAGGGGUUGGCAAUGGAAUGCCUUUCAGUGAAGGAGCUGGCGAUGCUCACCCCUAUCACCUCAGUGCCCAGAACAGGGCUUGGCAGAAACUAAGUGCUCAAACCAAAGGGAGUGGAUAAAGCAGGGCACACUAAGGCACAGCGUAUGGUGUCUAACCCUCAGUAGGAAAAUUAGAGAACUGGUUGAAAGCAGUGGGGCAAACGGGUUUAUCUUUUGGAUUGUAUAGUAGUGGUAUGAAUGGUAAGGAUAUUACCAUUCAUACCACUUAAGGAUAUUUCAUUCUUAGUCUGCUCCUUAGAUAGAUUUACACUCUGACCAUGAGUGUGAGAAUGUGUGAGUGUGCAUGUGUUGGCAGGGGGUGUUUCCCAGCCUCAUAGCACCAAUGGCAACCCCUCAUCAUCCAGCAUACAUUGGCCAAGGGACAGAUCCCCAAGGGGCAGUUUUAUCCCUCGGUCAGCUGCAGAGGAAAGCCGGGCAUCUGCUGUUAUUCUUGUCCUAGUGGCUGUGGUUUGGGAGUAAAUGCCUGAACUGCUGCUGGGGUCCCAGGGUGACUCAGACUUGGGGAUUGAUGAUGGGUUUUGUCAUGUUUCUGAAUAAUUAAAGAGCAGCUUCCAUUUAUGGGGACUUACUUUGAAGCCAUCACAAUGUAUUAGUGGUCAAGUAGGCUGCGUGUGUGAGAGUUUAAAAGGUGAAGAGAAACCCACAGCCAAGAAGAUAAAGUCUGGCAGUAUAAAUAAUCCUGUCCAUGCAGAGCAGCUACAUCACAAGAAACACUCUUUCCUGAAGACACACCUUCCAGGCCCCUUUGCACAUGCGUGCCACCUCAUUUCUUCAGCAAAGCCAGCCCAGAAUGAUCUGGAAUGAAGGGUGAGCAGACAGGGGUUUGAGGUCCCUCUUGAGGUCAGUCCUGUUCCCAGCCCUGGAUUCAUUCAGACCAGGGCUUUCCAGAAAGAACGGAGGGGGUGAGCUGCUGGGAACAAGUUUUCUUUCUCUCUGAGCCUCAAGCUUUUGCUUUUCUUUAAAAUGCAACUAAAGGUAUAGGACCUGCCCAUUUUAUGGGGGUUGUGAUGAUGGUUAAAUUGGGUGAUGCAUGUGAUAGAAACAAAUGAGCAUUAGGGUUGGUAUAUGGAAUUGACACUUCUGUGAAGAGAUGGGACCUGAGUCCUUUAAUUUGUGGGGUUUGCCUAUAUGUCAUCCUAGGCAUUUCCUUUUCCCCUUGUAAUGGGGUGAACAGCAAGAGGUAGGUUUCUGCCUUAGGUAAAAAAGAGAUGAUUUACAAGAGCUGGAGUAAACCAAUUCCAGAAACCAACAGGCUGGUUCCUGGGACCUUUGAAGAAUGAACCAGAAAUUCUCCCCUUGCUGGGCCUGAAGGAAAUACAGGCAGUAAGCAGAAGGCACGCAGGAUUCAGAAACAGUGGCCAUUUACAGAGUAAAACUGCUCAAUUAGGUCCAGCUAAAUGUCUUUAGAAUAUGAUUAAUGGUGACCCAAAGGUUCAAUACUGGCCGAAACUCAAUGAUCCUUAAUGUCAUGAUGCCCAGAGCCAAACAUCA
RNAcentral lists this long non-coding RNA (6216 nucleotides) under Sus scrofa (pig). RNAcentral describes it as "lncRNA (ENSSSCG00000057481.1)". Lineage: Eukaryota; Metazoa; Chordata; Mammalia; Artiodactyla; Suidae. The record is from RNAcentral.